GUGUGAGCUCCACCCAGCUGCUCUCCAACCCAAUAAUCCAGAGCUGGCGUCUGAAUUAUUACUCCUGCUGCGUUAUUGUAGGUAGACCAAAAUCAAUACAUCGGAUCAGACAGGCCGGGGGUUUUUUAUCUGUGGAUCGCGAGAUUAUUUUUUUCGUUUUAUGAGCAAACGUGGACUUGGAAGUUGAGACUGGAGAGACGCACAUGUGUGUCCGUCUUCCUCCGGACGCGUCGACCCGUCAGCAUUCUGGGUAAAAAGUUGUGUUUGUGUUUGGGAUUUUGCUUUAUAAAUAUAUAGGAAGAAAAGGAGCACGACAACAUGUCGCUGAGCAGAAGUAUCGAAUUUGAACACUUCGAGGAACGAGAGAAGCCGCACCGGACACCGAGGACCAACUCUGCGUCCGGGUCCCAGUCCUCCAGAGGCAACGGUCUGGUACCGAGCCCGGCGCACAGUGCGCACUGUAGUUUCUACCGCACGCGCACUCUGCAGUCCCUCACCACCGAGAAGAAAGCCAAAAAAGUGCGUUUUUAUCGCAAUGGAGACCGAUAUUUCAAAGGAUUGGUUUAUGCCGUGUCUAACGACCGGUUCCGGUCUCUGGAUGCUCUGCUCAUGGAGCUCACCCAGUCCCUGUCGGACAACGUCAACCUUCCUCAAGGAGUCCGGAUGUUAUACGCGAUGGAUGGAGGCAGUAGGAUCACCAGUCUGGAGGAGUUGGUAGAAGGUGAGAGUUAUGUGUGCGCCUCAAACGAACCCUUCCGACGCGUGGACUACACCAGGAACGUCAAUCCGAACUGGUUGGUGGGCUCCAAGACCGGCACGUCGCGCUCCCUCUCCUCUCUCGUCCGGCUGAAGAGUGAGCUGCAGCACGAGACCAAGGACUUCAUCAAGCCCAAGCUGGUCACGGUCAUCCGCAGCGGGGUCAAACCCCGCAAGGCCGUACGCAUACUGCUCAACAAGAAGACGGCGCACUCCUUCGGGCAGGUGCUCACCGACAUCACGGACGCAAUCAAGUUGGACUCGGGAGCCGUGAGGAGACUGUACACUUUGGAGGGCAAGCAGAUUAUCUGCCUGCAGGAUUUCUUUGGGGACGACGAUGUGUUCAUAGCGUGCGGCCCGGAGAAGCACCGCUACGCUCAGGACGACUUUGUGUUGGAUCACAGUGGUAAGGCGUCCGCAGCCUUUAUGACUGAAUGCCGAGUGCUAAAGACGUCGUCGCACAGCCGCUCCGCUACUCCACACCGGACAGACAAGAGCCCCAGACCUUCGCGCCGCAGCAAGUCACCUGGUGCAGCAAGACAAACUGUCCACUACUCCACCAGUCAGUCUCCACUCAAAUCCCCAGUAAACGGUGUCUCAAGCAGCCAGAUCUCAACUCCUAAGUCCACCAAGUCCUCCACUCCGUCUCCCACCAGUCCUGGAACCAUCCGCAGUUUUGAGGUCCUCCCGUCACAUUACAGCUCAUCCUCCAAUUUAAACGGAUCUUUAAACAACCACCAGGAGCAAAGUGAUCGGCUGAGUCCGGAGGCAGUUAACGGAAACCGCUUCAUACCGGCCUCAACCAUCUCGGAAAAAUACAGGAUCGGCAAGGUGAUCGGAGACGGAAACUUCGCUGUGGUCAAAGAGUGCGUGGAGUGGUCCACAGGAAAAGAGUUUGCACUGAAGAUCAUCGACAAGGCCAAGUGCUGUGGAAAGGAGCACCUCAUAGAGAACGAGGUUGCGGUGCUGCGGAAGGUGAAACACCCCAACAUCAUCAUGCUGAUAGAGGAGGUGGACACGCCCUCUGAGCUCUACCUGGUUAUGGAGCUUGUCAAGGGAGGGGAUUUAUUCGAUGCCAUCACCUCCUCGGCGAAAUACACCGAGAGAGACGCCUGCGUCAUGGUGUACAAUCUGGCCGGAGCUCUGAAGUACCUGCACAGCACCAACAUCGUCCACAGAGACAUCAAGCCGGAGAACUUGCUGGUGUUUGAAUAUCCAGAUGGCACCAAGUCAUUGAAACUGGGGGACUUUGGCCUGGCCACAGUAGUGGAAGGACCUCUGUACACCGUGUGUGGAACUCCGACAUACGUAGCUCCGGAAAUCAUCUCGGAGUCCGGUUAUGGUCUGAAGGUGGAUAUCUGGGCUGCAGGUGUCAUCACCUACAUCCUUCUUUGUGGCUUCCCUCCAUUUAGAAGUGAGAGUAACAUGCAGGAGGAUCUGUUUGAGCAGAUCCUCCUAGGGCACCUGGACUUUCCCAGUCCUUACUGGGACAACAUCACUGACUCAGCCAAGGAGCUGAUUGGAAAGAUGCUGCAGGUGAACGCUGAGGUUCGAUACUCCGCACAAGACAUCCUCCGCCACCCCUGGGUCACGGACGACACCGUCAUGGAGAACAACAUGAUGAUGGAGGUCACAGGUAAACUGAAGACGCACUUUAACACUGCACCUAAGCACAACAACACCACGGCCGGCGUGUCCGUCAUCAUGGUAAGAGCCCAAAAGAUUCACAAACCAAAGAUUCAAAAUUCCGUAAAUAUCUCUGUCGUUCCGUCGUUGCACAUUUAGUUUUCUGAUUUGCUGCAGUCCUUUCAUCGAGCGUAGUCUUACCGCUUCAUGUGGUGCUGACCUUCAGUGACCUCUAUAAUCUGCAGUACUCGGGUUUAAUGGAGUCGACAAGGUGACUGAAGUAGCUUGAAGAUGUCGGGCUCUUUUCCAAACACGUACUGCAUGGAAUUGAAUCUCUGACCCAAAUACAGAAGAUUGAGCUGCUUCCAAGUUCACAUUUAUACGAGCCGUACGGCCAGCCAAUCAGCAGGCUAAGAAUAUCUGAACUCAAUCGUGGUCCGCGAGAACGUUGGGCGACCUGCUGUAAACACGGACCUCGUGGUUUUAGAGAUGGGGAGACGGGGGAGAGCUCGGGCGGGACACGAUACAUCAUUCCUGGAGCAGUCACAUCCCUCCUUCCUGUCUGUUUCAAGCACCACUUGCAUCAUUUCCUGUCGUACAGUUUGACUUCCUCCACUCCUCUUCUUCAUCUGUUCACACUAAUCAUCGGCCCGCUCUCUUCAGUCUGAACUGAGAGCGGGAGAGGGGCGUAAGAGAAAGUGUCUCGCUAGAAAUGACACGUGGUCCUCGCUGCAAAGAGCCUCAUUUAUUUUUGUCAAUUUCAUUUGACAGUUUGAGGUGUAAAUGUGGAACCUGGCCUCGGCCCCUCCUCCUCUCCAUCCUCUUCCUCCUCCUCACCCCCUUCCUCACAUCACAACCCAGGACCAGAGUGGACGCCUGGAGCUGAGAGCUGGCUUCAAGGCGAUAAUGGUACGUACUAACACUGACCGUCUGCUGCGAGGGCAAAUGAGGAACGCGAUACCUCGAACACCUCAUCGGCUUAACGACGAGAAGCACCACGCAUGAACGAGCACGAGCGGACUUUCUCAUUUGCCCUCUCUCUUCA
Pseudoliparis swirei is the source of this 3427-nucleotide RNA transcript. It is a transcript of the gene named doublecortin-like kinase 2a, with no coding region annotated. NCBI's taxonomy places the organism in Eukaryota, Metazoa, Chordata, Actinopteri, Perciformes, Liparidae. The record is from RefSeq and is a predicted model, not a curated record. The transcript is spliced from 17 exons.